CCUACGGGUGGCAGCAGUGGGGAAUAUUGGGCAAUGGAGGCAACUCUGACCCAGCGACGCCGCGUGAAUGAUGAAGGUCUUCGGAUUGUAAAGUUCUGUGAUGGGGGAUGAAAACAAUGACGGUAGACUAAUAGGAAGCAACGGAUAACUACGUGCCAGCAGCCGUGGUAAUACGUAGGUGGCAAGCGUUAUGCGGAAUGACUGGGCGUAAAGGGAGCGUCGGUGGUCUAGUAAGUUGGCGGUGUAAUUCCGGGGCUCAACCUCGGCGCUACUGCAAAAACUGUUAGACUAGAGUGCAGGGGAGGUAAGUGGAAUUCCUAGUGUAGCGGUGGAAUGCGUAGAUAUUAGGAGGAACAUCAGGGGCGAAGGCGACUUACUGGACUGUAACUGACACUGAGGCACGAAAGCGUGGGGAGCAAACAGGAUUAGAUACCCCAGUAGUC
Molecule: ribosomal RNA, 443 nt
Filed under: uncultured bacterium
Lineage: Bacteria
Description: partial 16S ribosomal RNA
Rfam family: Bacterial small subunit ribosomal RNA
Source: RNAcentral